UUUUUUGCAUCAACUAUUGAGUUGGCAAUAUGGUGUCUGCUGGAUUCUUGAAUCUCUCCCAAGCAUUACCCAGAGUCAUUGUACGCAUGUACAAAGUUCCUGGAAUCAAGCAUGGCAGCAUAAGCUACCCAAUUGUUUACUGACUGAGCUCUCCAGAUCAUCUCAUGUUUCAGAUCACUAAAUAAGAACUAGCCAUCAGUGGUGAGCUCAACUUUUGAUUCUUUUGGCACUGGAUUGUCUCCAUUCACAUACCAAAUGAUAGUUUUACUAGGAUUUUUCGUCAAACCAGAUUGCAAGCAAGAAGAGAGCAUGAUCCUCAUGGCGGGGGAACCCAAAUGCAAAAUCACCAGAAGAUGAUUUCCAUGAAGAGGUUUCACUAUUUUGUUUAGGGUAAAUUAAACCUACAUCCUUGAGUUUUCACUUCCUGUUAUGUUUAUCCUUUAAAAAAAACGUUUAUGAAAUUGUGAUUAUACCCAAAAGACUCACCCCUUCUGUUUAUUAUGGCAGGCCACCAUUUUCAUCUUUCAUGUAAAUAUAGUUAAGGAAAAAAGGUAGACAUGGAAGUCAAGUUUAGCAACAAU
This 581-nucleotide long non-coding RNA is filed under the name Carica papaya (papaya). RNAcentral describes it as "long non-coding RNA (CPAP_LNC004709)". Lineage: Eukaryota; Viridiplantae; Streptophyta; Magnoliopsida; Brassicales; Caricaceae. The record is from RNAcentral.